This 444-nucleotide ribosomal RNA is filed under the name uncultured bacterium. RNAcentral describes it as "bacterial SSU rRNA". It matches the Rfam family "Bacterial small subunit ribosomal RNA", at positions 28 to 491 of the family's 1533-position model. The record is from RNAcentral.
GAUGAACGCUGGCGGCGUGCCUAACACAUGCAAGUCGAACGGACUCGAUUCUUAGGAUGAGAGUUAGUGGCGCACGGGUGAGUAACACGUAGGUGACCUACCCCAGAGCGGGGGACAACUUCUCGAAAGAGAAGCUAAUACCCCGUAUGUUCAAUCAUUCGUUUGAUUGAGUAAAGCUCCGGCGCUCUGGGAGGGGCCUGCGUCCGAUUAGCUAGUUGGUGGGGUAAUGGCCUACCAAGGCGAUGAUCGGUAGCUGGUCUGAGAGGACGAUCAGCCACACUGGCACUGACACACGGGCCAGACUCCUACGGGAGGCAGCAGUGAGGAAUAUUGCGCAAUGGGCGAAAGCCUGACGCAGCAACGCCGCGUGGAGGAUGAAGGCCCUUCGGGUCGUAAACGUACCUUUCUGGGAGAAGAGACAAGGACGGUAUCCCAGGAAUAAGU